GAGUCAGGAGGAGCUGUCUCCUAGCCCACCUUUGUUGAAUCCAUCCACACCACAGUCUACAGAGAGUCAGCCACCUACUGGUGAACCAGCCACCCCCAAGAGGCGCAAAGCAGAGCCAGAGGCACUGCAGUCUCUCAGGAGGUCCACGCGGCACAGCACCAACUGUGACAGGCUGUCUGAAAGCAGCUCGUCACCUCAGCCGAAGCGCAGGCAACAGGACACAUCCACCAGCAUGCCGAAGCUGUUUCUGCACUUGGAAAAGAAUGCUUUGUUUUCAUCUACAUCUGUGCACCAUGGUGCCUAGUGCCCCCAGAAGCCAAAAGAAGAGACACCUGUGCAUAGCAGAUCAUCUUCCCCCAUUCCUCUGACUCCAAGUAAGGAUGGGAGUGCUGUAUUCGCUGGCUUCGAAGGGAGAAGAACCAAUGAAAUCAAUGAGGUACUGUCUUGGAAACUUGUGCCUGACAAUUACCCACCAGGAGACCAGCCACCUCCCCCUUCAUACAUUUAUGGUGCACAGCAUUUGCUCAGAUUAUUUGUGAAACUUCCAGAAAUCCUUGGGAAGAUGUCCUUCUCUGAGAAGAAUCUGAAGGCUUUACUGAAGCACUUUGAUCUCUUUCUGAGGUUUUUAGCAGAAUACCAUGAUGACUUCUUCCCGGAGUCGGCUUAUGUUGCUGCCUGUGAGGCACACUACAGCACCAAGAACCCCAGGGCAAUUUAUUAAACUUUUGAUGGUUUUGAGAAAA
Molecule: long non-coding RNA, 743 nt
Filed under: Rattus norvegicus (Norway rat)
Lineage: Eukaryota; Metazoa; Chordata; Mammalia; Rodentia; Muridae
Description: long non-coding RNA NONRATT030493
Source: RNAcentral